RNAcentral lists this long non-coding RNA (336 nucleotides) under Populus trichocarpa (black cottonwood). RNAcentral describes it as "long non-coding RNA (PTRI_LNC000718)". The record is from RNAcentral. Lineage: Eukaryota; Viridiplantae; Streptophyta; Magnoliopsida; Malpighiales; Salicaceae.
CAUUACAGCAGCACCGCUUCUUGCCUUGGACACAGCAGCUCCUUGGGAUGCAACAGCUGAGAAUCCUCUGCCGUUGAUUGCCUCGCUGAUCAGGCCAGAGAUGACCUUGGCGUUUGAGAAAGAACGAGCCAUUCUACAAAUACAGUGUGUGAUUUGAUUCAAACUUUGUGAAAGAAGUUUUACGAAAACAAGAGAUGAUGGAUCUUUUAUAUAUUUCAACUGCCGUAGAAACUUGUUUGUUUCUUCUUCGAGAAACUUUCUGCAGCAGUUGAAGGACCCAAAGACUAUCUUUCUUUCUCGGCUCUCUCUCUCUCUGUUUAAGUUUGCAAGAAUAUA